Non-coding RNA from Podarcis lilfordi (Lilford's wall lizard), 73 nucleotides. Lineage: Eukaryota; Metazoa; Chordata; Lepidosauria; Squamata; Lacertidae. The record is from the annotation of a GenBank genome assembly.
CCCUUGUUAGCUCAGUCGGUAGAGCAUGAGACUCCUAAUCUCGGGGUUGUGGACCGGAGCCCCACAUUGGGCA